GACGAACGCUGGCGGCGUGCUUAACACAUGCAAGUCGAACGGAAAGGCCCUGCUUGCAGGGUACUCGAGUGGCGAACGGGUGAGUAACACGUGGGUGAUCUGCCCUGCACUUCGGGAUAAGCCUGGGAAACUGGGUAUAAUACCGGAUAGGAGCCAUAUUUCGUGUGAUGGUGGGCACGUUUUUUCGGUGUAGGAUGAGCUUGCGGCCUUGCAGCUUGUGCGUGGGGGAAUGGUCUACCAAGGCGGCGACGGGUAACCGGACUGGGAGGGUGGACCUCCACAUUGGGACUGAGACUCGGACCAGGCUCCGACUGGAGGGAGCAGUGGGAAAUAGGGCUAUAGGGGCGUAAGCCUGAUGCAGCGACGCCGCGGGGGGGAUGAUGGCCUUGGCGUUGUAAUCGUCAUGCGCUUGUGACGAAGCUGUUUGUGACGGUACCGAGAUAAGAAGCACCGGCUAACUACGUG
RNAcentral lists this ribosomal RNA (465 nucleotides) under uncultured bacterium. Its description in RNAcentral is "partial 16S ribosomal RNA". It matches the Rfam family "Bacterial small subunit ribosomal RNA", at positions 28 to 507 of the family's 1533-position model. The record is from RNAcentral.